RNAcentral lists this transfer RNA (71 nucleotides) under Loxodonta africana (African savanna elephant). It matches the Rfam family "tRNA". Rfam says of the family: Transfer RNA (tRNA) molecules are approximately 80 nucleotides in length. Their secondary structure includes four short double-helical elements and three loops (D, anti-codon, and T loops). Lineage: Eukaryota; Metazoa; Chordata; Mammalia; Proboscidea; Elephantidae. The record is from Rfam by way of RNAcentral.
ACACUGGUGGUUCAGUGGUAGAAUUCUUGCCUUCCAUGAGAGAGACCCGGGUUCUAUUCCUGGCCAAAGCA